This 18-nucleotide small nuclear RNA is filed under the name Arabidopsis thaliana (thale cress). RNAcentral describes it as "snRNA_07008". Lineage: Eukaryota; Viridiplantae; Streptophyta; Magnoliopsida; Brassicales; Brassicaceae. The record is from RNAcentral.
GACGGUAUUGUCCCAGUG